ACUCGUGUAGUUUAUAAAAACAUUAUAUUUUCAUUAUAAAGAUAAAACCUAUUUUCACAAGUU
This 63-nucleotide transfer RNA is filed under the name Pseudopotamorites peniculus. RNAcentral's name for it is "tRNA-Glu". Lineage: Eukaryota; Metazoa; Arthropoda; Insecta; Trichoptera; Limnephilidae. The record is from RNAcentral.